UUAAAGUCGUAUUCACGGCAGUUCUUCUCAAUCCAAUCCUCGUUCGUUCGUGAACGCAACUUCCCUACAAGCGAACCAAAUGCAGGAAGCGGACUAGAACGCAAGGCAUUCGAUCGUUUGGAGAAAAGAAGGAAAUUAUUUCAAGAGGAAGACCUACACCAAAGAGAAGGCCCUGACUGAAACCCCACGGUACGCUACUGUUAAUAAUAAACAAACUUUCAAACUUUCAGGUAAAAACAUUUACAUUAAAAACAAAAUAAAUAAUAAUAAAUGACUCAAAUGAUUUUAAAACUUUGUUCCAGGACACAGAGAAAUAUUUAUAUCAGGUUUAUAUUUCUUUCUCUGCUGCUAUGUUCCGGCCAAAUGCAUUCUGCCAAGUAAGUCACCACUCGAUGCAUGCUGGGUAAAACGGGCGGAGCCAGAACACUUCUGGGUGCAAGAACUGUACUCGCUGCUCGUGUACAUGAGUAUUGCAACAGAAGUUGGACUGAGGCUGAUGACGUUUCACAAGUACGCACAAGUAUGAGAGUACAAGAGUACAGACAAGUACAGACAAGUACGAAAGUACAGACAAGAACGCACAAGUGAGAACAGCGGAGAAGAUCAUUGGGACACCACUCCCACCCAUCAAAGACAUUGCACACAGGCGCUGUCUAACCAGGGCUCACCAGAUCCUCACUGACCACACCCACCCCCACCAUGGACUGUUCUCCCUGCUGGCGUCUGGCAGGAGGUUCCGCAGCAUCCGCUGCAGAACAAACCGACUCAAGAACAGCUACUUUCCACUG
Molecule: long non-coding RNA, 788 nt
Organism: Solea solea (common sole)
Lineage: Eukaryota; Metazoa; Chordata; Actinopteri; Pleuronectiformes; Soleidae
Exons: 3
Source: RefSeq, a predicted model, not a curated record